AGGAAGGCUUCCACGGCUUGUUCGUUGGGGGCCUUUUUCUUUUGC
RNAcentral lists this antisense RNA (45 nucleotides) under Ensifer meliloti. RNAcentral's name for it is "Sinorhizobium meliloti ctRNA". It matches the Rfam family "ctRNA". Rfam says of the family: This family represents a group of ctRNAs (or counter-transcribed RNAs) from p42d and related plasmids. ctRNAs are small, highly structured, antisense sequences which are involved in negative regulation. RNAcentral also lists the same sequence under 4 other names. Lineage: Bacteria; Pseudomonadati; Pseudomonadota; Alphaproteobacteria; Hyphomicrobiales; Rhizobiaceae. The record is from RNAcentral.